This 916-nucleotide ribosomal RNA is filed under the name uncultured archaeon. RNAcentral describes it as "bacterial SSU rRNA". It matches the Rfam family "Archaeal small subunit ribosomal RNA", at positions 26 to 922 of the family's 1478-position model. The record is from RNAcentral.
ACUGCUAUCGAGAUGGGACUAAGGUAUGCUAGUCGAACGACCAGAACUAUGUCUGGAAGUGGCACACUGCUCAGUAACACGUAGCUAACCUACCUUUAGGACGUGGAUACCCCCGAGAAAUUGGGGUUAAUCCGCGAUAGAUGUAAUGUCCUGGAAUGGUAUUACGUCUAAAGGUAUUUCAUACAUGUUUGAAAUAUGCCUAAGGACGGGGCUGCGGCCGAUCAGGCUGUUGGUGAGGUAAUGGCUCACCAAACCUUUGACCGGUACGGGCCAUGAGAGUGGUAGCCCGGAGAUGGACACUGAGACAAGGGUCCAGGCCCUAAGGGGCGCAGCAACCGCGAAACCUCCACAAUGCACUCACGUGCGAUGGGGCUAUCUCGAGUGCCACCUGAUGAAGGUGGCUUUUCCUAGGUCUUCAAAGCCUUGGGAAUAAGAGGGGGGCAAGACUGGUGUCAGCCGCCGCGGUAACACCAGCCCCUCGAGUGGUGGGGAUGAUUAUUUGGCCUAAAGCGUCCGUAGCCGGCCGUGAAAGUCUUCCGUUAAAUCCAGCGUCUCAAGCGUUGGACUGCGGGAGAUACUACACGGCUAGAGAGUGGGAGAGGUCAGCGGUAUUCCGGGGGUAGGGGCGAAAUCCUUUGAUCCCCGGAGGACCACCAGUGGCGAAGGCUGCUGACUAGAACACGUCUGACGGUCAGGGACGAAAGCUGGGGUAGCGAACCGGAUUAGAUACCCGGGUAGUCCCAGCCGUAAACGAUGCAUGCUAGGUGUUGGGUUGGCCACGAGCCACCCCAGUGCCGCAGGGAAGCCGUUAAACAUGCCGCCUGGGAAGUACGAUCGCAAGGUUGAAACUUAAAGGAAUUGGCGGGGGAGCACCACCAGGCGUGAAGCCUGCGGUUUAAUUGGAGUCAACGCCGGA